AACGAACGCUGGCGGCAGGCCUAACACAUGCAAGUCGAGCGAGGACUUCGGUCCUAGCGGCGGACGGGUGAGUAACGCGUGGGAACGUGCCCUUUGCUUCGGAAUAGCACUGGGAAACUGGGAGUAAUACCGGAUGAGCCCGUUGGGGGAAAGAUUUAUCGGCGAAGGAUCGGCCCGCGUUGGAUUAGGUAGUUGGUGGGGUAAUGGCCUACCAAGCCGACGAUCCAUAGCUGGUUUGAGAGGAUGAUCAGCCACACUGGGACUGAGACACGGCCCAGACUCCUACGGGAAGCAGCAGUGGGGAAUCUUAGACAAUGGGGGAAACCCUGAUCUAGCCAUGCCGCGUGAGCGAUGAAGGCCUUAGGGUUGUAAAGCUCUUUCAGCUGGGAAGAUAAUGACGGUACCAGCAGAAGAAGCCCCGGCUAACUCCGUG
RNAcentral lists this ribosomal RNA (433 nucleotides) under uncultured bacterium. RNAcentral's name for it is "partial 16S ribosomal RNA". It matches the Rfam family "Bacterial small subunit ribosomal RNA", at positions 29 to 507 of the family's 1533-position model. The record is from RNAcentral.